This 119-nucleotide ribosomal RNA is filed under the name Pteropus alecto (black flying fox). Lineage: Eukaryota; Metazoa; Chordata; Mammalia; Chiroptera; Pteropodidae. The record is from RNAcentral.
AUCUACGGCCAUACCACCCUGAACAAGCUCAAUCCCGUCUGAUCUCGGAAGCUAAGAAGGGUCGGGCCUGGUUAGUACUUGGAUGAGAGACCACCUAUAAAAACCAGGUGCUGUAGGCG